This 75-nucleotide transfer RNA is filed under the name Alphaproteobacteria bacterium. RNAcentral's name for it is "tRNA-Thr". It matches the Rfam family "tRNA". Rfam says of the family: Transfer RNA (tRNA) molecules are approximately 80 nucleotides in length. Their secondary structure includes four short double-helical elements and three loops (D, anti-codon, and T loops). RNAcentral also lists the same sequence under 5 other names. The record is from RNAcentral. Lineage: Bacteria; Pseudomonadati; Pseudomonadota; Alphaproteobacteria.
GCCACCGUGGCUUAGGGGUAUAGCGGCGCAUUGGUAAUGCGCAGGUCGCGAGUUCAAUUCUCGCCGGUGGCUCCA